UACGUAGGGGGCAAGCGUUGUUCGGAAUUACUGGGCGUAAAGGGCGCGUAGGCGGCACGGCAAGUCGGGAGUGAAAGCCCGGGGCUCAACCCCGGAGGGUCUCUCGAGACUGCCGAGCUAGAGUGCGGAAGAGGCAACCGGAAUUCCCAGUGUAGCGGUGAAAUGCGUAGAUAUCAGGAGGAACACCCGUGGCGAAAGCGGCUCUCUGGGACGGUACUGACGCUGAGACGCGAAAGCGUGGGGAGCAAACAGG
This 253-nucleotide ribosomal RNA is filed under the name uncultured bacterium. RNAcentral's name for it is "partial 16S ribosomal RNA". It matches the Rfam family "Bacterial small subunit ribosomal RNA", at positions 524 to 776 of the family's 1533-position model. The record is from RNAcentral.